This is a long non-coding RNA of Papaver somniferum (opium poppy), 637 nucleotides long. RefSeq lists it as uncharacterized. The record is from RefSeq and is a predicted model, not a curated record. The transcript has 2 exons. NCBI's taxonomy places the organism in Eukaryota, Viridiplantae, Streptophyta, Magnoliopsida, Ranunculales, Papaveraceae.
CGGUAGGAAAUGACGUUAUAGUCCCUUUACUUGUUAACUUAACCAGUUGGAGCUGGUUAGAACAAAAUCGGUAGGACGUUACAGUCCCUUUACUUGUUAACUUAACCAAACCAGUUGUGGGUGAAGUUAGUAAGUCAUACCCGUACCCAGCUUCCCUGCCCUUUCUUCUUCUUCUUCGUUCUCCUCUGGGUUCAAUCUUCAUCGAUGGAAGGGAAAUCGAAUUCAGGGAGGUACACAGAAUAAAUCAGGAAUAUACUUUUACUCCCCAUAGCAGAAGAAAAUAGCUAAAGAGUCUAUAGAACCGCAAUAAAAGAUUAUAGGUAAAAAGAUUUUUAUUGAGAAUUUGCCAGCAAAGAAGUUUUACAGAGCAAAGGAGUAUUAUCAUCAAUACUUAGCAAAGGGCGGUCGCUUUGGUUUUCAAGCAGUCAACUGAGAAAGGUUGCAAUGAUCCUAUUGAGUCACAUUCUAAACAAGAUGUUUUCUGUUUACAUGCAGUGUAGGUAUGUGAGGUCUCUGUGCUCUCUAUAAAAUAUAAAAAUCGAAGAAAAUAAAUAUGUUGUGGGUUUUGGCAACUUUCACAUGUAGCUACUGAACAUAUCAGAUGUGUGUAAUUGAUAUCAAGGUAUCUAUUUUAAUA